This is a long non-coding RNA of Marmota flaviventris (yellow-bellied marmot), 602 nucleotides long. RefSeq lists it as uncharacterized. The record is from RefSeq and is a predicted model, not a curated record. Lineage: Eukaryota; Metazoa; Chordata; Mammalia; Rodentia; Sciuridae.
CUCAGGGCCGCGAGACCGGGAAGGAGCAGGACUCUUGGAGAGGCAGAUGGUCUUAGUUGCUGCCGGACCGGCGCUGGCGGCCCCUGUCCUGGCCACAGUCCUGGAACUAGGAGAAGGAUGAAAUAGAGGGGAGGCCCUACUUAGCUGAUGGAGGAGGACACUGUGGGCUGAUGGCCCUGGGCUCACAGCUUAUGGAACCCAGGGCCUUGUGCAUACAAGUCAAGCACUCCCAACUGAGCUGCAUCCCAGCCCCAGCAUGCGCUUUGGAUGGACUAAAGCCAGGGGAAAGGUGCUGUUGGAGACUUACAUGGUGUAUCCCAGGUGUCGAUGUCAGCCUGGAUGUCCCCGAAAGAAGCAGGCACGUGACCUGCCCUGUGUUCCGUGGUUAAGAGGAUUGAGGUCACCGGCUGAGGUCACCCCACCCACUUCUCAUGUUCACUGUUCACCGAAUUUCCUUUAAAAAGAAGAGCCCAAGACCCCCAAAGAGCAGCUACGGCUGAGUGGCCCCACCCUCCUUCUGCAUGUGUGUCCCGUUCCAUUGCUUGCUUUACUGAAUAAAGCUUGCUCUCCUAAAUAAAUGCCUGCCUCAGCCAGGGUCUCAG